GACGAACGCUGGCGGCGUGCUUAACACAUGCAAGUCGAACGGGCCCGCUCUCUUUUUUGGGGGUGGGUUGAGUGGCGAACGGGUGAGUAUCACGUGAGUAACCUGCCCCCUGCUCCUGGAUAACUGCUUGAAAGGGCGGCUAAUACGGGGUGUGCCGGCUGGUCCGCAUGGGCCUGGUCGGGAUAGUUUCAUCUUCGGGUGUUUCGGUGGGGGAUGGGCUCGCGGCCUAUCAGCUUGUUGGCGGGGUGAUGGCCCACCAAGGCGGUGACGGGUAGCCGGCCUGAGAGGGUGGGCGGCCACACUGGGACUGAGACACGGCCCAGACUCCUGCGGGAGGCAGCAGUGGGGGGUAUUGCGCAAUGGGCGGAAGCCUGAUGCAGCGACGUCGCGUGAGGGAUGGAGGCCUUCGGGUUGGGAACCUCUUUCUCCGGUGGUGAAGGCCCUGUCCGUUGCGGCGGGGUUGACGGUAGCCGGGGAUGAAGCGCCGGCUAACUACGUG
RNAcentral lists this ribosomal RNA (499 nucleotides) under uncultured bacterium. RNAcentral describes it as "partial 16S ribosomal RNA". It matches the Rfam family "Bacterial small subunit ribosomal RNA", at positions 28 to 507 of the family's 1533-position model. The record is from RNAcentral.